This 408-nucleotide ribosomal RNA is filed under the name Triticum aestivum (bread wheat). RNAcentral's name for it is "partial small subunit ribosomal RNA". Lineage: Eukaryota; Viridiplantae; Streptophyta; Magnoliopsida; Poales; Poaceae. The record is from RNAcentral.
UUCUCUCAGAUUUGGAAGGCCGGGAUCCCUCCUAAAGUUAAGAUUUUCCUUUGGCAAGCCUUUAGGGGCCGGUUGCCUUCGGCUGACCAGAUUCAUAAGAGAAACGGGCCGGGUUCACAAUUUUGUGCUUUGUGUGGUGACGUGGAGGAUACGGCUCACAUUUUCUUCCACUGUGUCUUGGCUAAGCUCAUUUGGAGCUGCGUUAGAGAAUGGCUAAAUGUUACCUGGCCCCUGCUUCCUUCUCAGAAAUUGGGACCCUGGCGAGUAACUUGUCUGGCGUUUCCAGACGUAUCUUUUGGGUGGGCCUGGAUGCACUGUGCUGGUCCCUUUGGACAUUUCCUUCUCCUAUCCUUUGAUGAAGACGACACAUCGUUUCCUUCCUCCUCUGUUGUCAAGUGCUUUCAGUGA